RNAcentral lists this small RNA (2101 nucleotides) under Rattus norvegicus (Norway rat). RNAcentral describes it as "uncharacterized LOC108348530". The record is from RNAcentral. Lineage: Eukaryota; Metazoa; Chordata; Mammalia; Rodentia; Muridae.
GGCAUCUCAGAGCUCGGAGUCUGGACGAUCCUAAAUCUGCAGCCCGGAACAAUGUAAAUUGAAAGGAUAUUUUCUACGACAUCUCUCAGCACAGAGAUGUGUCCUUUGGGUUAUGCAGAAAUGAAGGCUGCAUCAAAAGAACCGAGGGCCCGGGAACAAAGCCAGCCUAACACUUUCUUUGGCACAUUAGCCAUUUGUCUCAGCCGUGACAAAAAAGUGCCCAAGCAAAUCAAAGGAGAAAAUAAAGGCAAACAGACGCACUUUCAGAAGCAACUGGAGGGUGGAGACGUUUCUCGGAAACCAAGUACAGCCACUGGAAAUAUUUACCUGAGCCUGAUGGGACCUGGAAGGUCAAGGCACGUUUAACACUCGAGAUGCAAAUGCUCGAGAGAUCUCAGGAAACCCCAACGGGUUCUCAACGCAAGUAACAUUCAUAUCGCUAGGAACCCCAACCGUCCUAUCAUAGAGGUGAAGAAAUGGAAGGAGCAAGGAGAUAAAUGCAAACAAUGUAUAAAAUCGAACCACUCUGGACCAUCUGAGGUUGAGCCAAGCAGAUCUUACUAAACAUUGAACAAAACAAGCAUAUGAACACAGACCAGCCAUGACCUGGUCCCCAACCCCUACCCUCCUGGGCACCUUUCUGAUUUUGCCCUUCGGUGGACAAGGAUGUGUUAAUAGCACACGGGGAGGAAUGUUUCCAUUGCUUGCUCACGGUCACUUAGGCUCACCUUGUUUGUUCUAUUCUGCUCUCCGUGACCGCGGUGUCUUACAAAGUCACCAUACUUGGUGAGUUUUCAAAGCCACCAGGUGGCGAGUCCACGGGCUUUCAUCUAAAAUACUGACAACCUCAGGCAAAAACUCUGUAAGGUAGCACUUCAGGUACAUAGAAAUGUAACAAUAUCGGAACUGAAGAAAAACAAAUGUUCCAGCCGACUAGGUCCGGCACAUCCUCCCCUCCGGAGAGAUAAACUGACUUUGAACAAAAAACUUUUUUUUAAUGGUUCUCAAAAAGGACAAAACUUUGAAAUGUCAGGCUUUAUGUAAGAGUAUUCGAAGUCUACUUAGCAUUAGUGACUAAGCCAUGAAAAUGAAGGAGUCAGCAAAAUAAUGUCCCAGUUCCACACACCUUUCCUAUUGAAAAUUCCCAUCCUCCUAUCAUGUAACUUUAAGAACAAUCUUUGGUUGACCUCUGCUUGGGGCCAAGUGGCUCUUUCAACAAAAUGGCGAUUCUGGCUUUUAAAAUAUAUAAAUGCACAGAGCACAGGGCGAUUGUAGGGCGGUGGAGAUGCUCUGUAGGGAACGAUAAUGUGACAAUGGAUAUCUGUCAGAACCUCUGUGAGUACAACACCAAUAACGUGAGUUCAAAACUUGUCUGACGAGACUAUGCCAAAGUGAAUUCGUCAGCUAUCAUGAGAGUAGCCAUGGGGCGGGGGUUGGGGAAAUGGCUCAGCAGUUAGGAGCAUUGGUACCCAUCUAGUAGCUCACAGAUAUCUCUCACUCCAGUUUUGGGGAUCUGACAUCUCUAGCCACCAUGAGCACCAGGCAUGAGCAUGAUACAUAGACAUAGAUAUAUCCAGGGAAAACACUUAAAAGAAGAUAAGUUAAAAAAAAACAAGAAACAAAAACAAAGAGUUCCCUUGGGGUGGAUGCUGUGGACAACAAUAGGAUCUCUAUGGAUGGAAGAAGACGGUAGAGAAAAUCUCCCCAUGCCCCUUUUCAUCUCGCUGUGCACAUGAAACUUCUUUAUGAAAGGCCUAUGAAAAUGUGUAUCGGGCAUUAUGUAUAAAUCUACUACAGCCUCCCACGGUGACAGAAUUCUGCUGAUCCAGGUUCUUCAACAGCCUUGAACUGUUCUGACUGGUUGUGAAGUCAGGAACACUUAUUGAAUAAUGACGCUGGUUGUGUGUCCUUGGGUUGCUUGCAUGGUUCGAGAAAAUGAGGACAACAGUGACUCUUCACUGUCUGGGUCAGAGACCCUAGACACCCAGCAUUCAUUUCCCUCAUAUAUAAACUUGGUGCCGUACAGCGUUUCACUAGUGGGCAUUCGAAAUGACAUUUAGAUUUUACAUUAAAAUGAGUUAAUCAUAUACUAAAACCAAAA